Molecule: long non-coding RNA, 381 nt
Organism: Poecilia latipinna (sailfin molly)
Lineage: Eukaryota; Metazoa; Chordata; Actinopteri; Cyprinodontiformes; Poeciliidae
Exons: 2
Source: RefSeq, a predicted model, not a curated record
CAAAUGUCUUCUACAAUGAUUAGAUUUAAGGUUUUCCUUGCUGUUAUCGUCUUGUCUGCAAACUGGAGUGGUUCUGAUGGUCAAACACUGACUGAGUCUGAAUCAGUGGUUAAAAGGCCUGGAGAAUCUCACAGACUGACCUGCACAUAUUCUGGGUUUAGUAGCGAUCCUCAUAUAGCUUGGAUCAGACAGGCGGCUGGAAAAGGACUAGAAUGGAUCGCUUUAAUCUGGGAUGACAGCAGCGGCAUGUACUACUCUGACUCAGUAAGAGGCCGGUUCAUCGUUUCCAGAGACAACAGCAGAAGUCAAGUUUAUCUGCAGAUGAACAGCCUGACAGCUGGAGAUUCUGCUGUUUAUUACUGCGCUCGAGAGCCACAGUGA